RNAcentral lists this ribosomal RNA (253 nucleotides) under uncultured bacterium. RNAcentral's name for it is "partial 16S ribosomal RNA". It matches the Rfam family "Bacterial small subunit ribosomal RNA", at positions 524 to 776 of the family's 1533-position model. The record is from RNAcentral.
UACGAAGGGUCCUAGCGUUGUUCGGAGUUACUGGGCGUAAAGCGCUUGUAGGUGGCUUUGUAAGUUAAAUGUGAAAGCCUGGGGCUUAACCUCAGAAGUGCAUUUAAUACUGUAAAGCUUGAGUACGAGAGAGGAUGAUGGAAUUCCUGGUGUAGUGGUGAAAUACGUAGAUAUCAGGAGGAACAUCGGUGGCGAAGGCGGUCAUCUGGCUCGAUACUGACACUGAGAAGCGAAAGCGCGGGGAUCAAACAGG